This 73-nucleotide ribosomal RNA is filed under the name Providencia stuartii. Its description in RNAcentral is "partial 16S ribosomal RNA". It matches the Rfam family "Bacterial small subunit ribosomal RNA", at positions 1463 to 1533 of the family's 1533-position model. Lineage: Bacteria; Pseudomonadati; Pseudomonadota; Gammaproteobacteria; Enterobacterales; Morganellaceae. The record is from RNAcentral.
UGUGAUCCAUGACUGGGGUGAAGUCGUAACAAGGUAACCGUAGGGGAACCUGCGGUUGGAUCACCUCCUUACC